AAAAGCUGGUUGAUGACAAUUCUGUGCUUAGUGAAUAUGGCGUAAGCAAUAAUUCCAAGGUACAUUUUUUCCCUUUUGUCGCAUCCAGGGCGACCCAGAAACAUUCUAAGAGAAGGAAACACCGUUUCUUUCAUGGUCUCAGUAAAAGGUUAUAGCUUCGCCACGAGCUCAAAGUUCUGAUACUGUUUUCUUCUUUAUGGUAUUUUGCAGUUUUACUUCACCGAUAAAUUGAUAAUGAUGACAAUUUUAAUGUGGAGAUAUUUGAUUGUGUUGAA
Zingiber officinale is the source of this 275-nucleotide long non-coding RNA. RefSeq lists it as uncharacterized. NCBI's taxonomy places the organism in Eukaryota, Viridiplantae, Streptophyta, Magnoliopsida, Zingiberales, Zingiberaceae. The record is from RefSeq and is a predicted model, not a curated record. The transcript is spliced from 2 exons.